UCGGAUUUUAGACCCUUUCCCCCACUUCUCCUUUCCCUUUGACGGACACUCUUCUUCCCCACCCCAACAGCAAUGGUGACGAGCGGCUCCGUCCCCUCGGCUCCCCCGCACUUCGUCCUCGUACCGUUACUGGCGCAGGGCCACCUCAUCCCAGCCAUGGACAUCGCCGCGCUGCUCACCGCCCGCGGCGCCGCCGUAACCCUAAUCACCACCCCCGUCAACGCCGCGCGCCUCCGCCCCCUCGCCGAUCGCCUCGUCGCCUCCUCCUCCCACUCCGGCCCCUUUCGCCUAGCCGAGCUCCCCUUCCCCGCCGCCCCCUUCGGCCUCCCCGAGGGCUGCGAGAACCUCGACCUCAUCCCCUCCCCGCCCCUCUACCUCAGCUUCUUCCGCGCCGCCGCAGCGCUCCGCGGGCCCCUCACCUCCCUCCUCCGCUCCCUGCAGGCCCCGCCCCCCUCCUGCCUCGUCGCCGACAUGUUCAGCCCCUGGGCCGCCGACGUCGCCGCCGACCUCGGCCUCCCGCGCCUCGUCUUCCACGGCCCCUCCUGCCUCACCGUCCUCUCCUUCCUCUCCGCCCAGCGCCACGGCCUCAUCGGCCCCGGCGCCGCCGCCGCGGAGCCCUUCGAGAUCCCCGGGGUCCCGCACAGGAUCACGGCCACGCGCGCCGAGGUCCCCGGGUGGUUCAACGUCCCCGCGUUUGAGGAGCUCCUGCGGAGCAUCCUCGAGGCCGAGGCCGCCGCCGACGGGGUCGUCUUGAACACCUUCGAGUUCCUCGAGGGCGACUCCGCUGCUGCCUACGGCGCCAUGCUCGGAAAACCCGUGCACUGCAUCGGGCCCUUGUGUUUGAGCACUAAGGACUCGGUCGGCAACGUCGGGAGGGGCGGAGACGCCGCCGUCGACACAGGGCGGUGCGUCGAGUGGCUGGCGGCGAAGAAUCCCCGGUCGGUGAUCUACGUCAGCUUCGGGAGCCUCACCUACGUGCCGCCGAAGCAGGUCAUCGAGAUCGGCGAGGGCCUCGCGGCGGCCGGCGCGCCGUUCGUCUUCGUGAUCAAGAAGAGCGAGGUCGCGUCGCCGGAGGUAACACAGAACUGCCGUUUCUUCUUUUCUUUAUUAAAGGAAUGUGGUGUGUCUAUAGUUUGUCGAAUUCAAAUAGGUCCUCCAAAUCAUUACCACCGUUUUCUUUGUGCGUGAAAACUGAGCAACUCUGGUGAAGUUGAAACUUUUAAGUCAUUUUUAGUAAUCAGACUUUUAAAUCUAAGUUGGUUUCGUUUGAUUUGAUAUAAAAUAUUUGAGGUGUUUAAAAAAUAAAUUGUACUUGUAUUAUAUAUUACUUAUUUUAGUGAUCAUCGAAAGAGUUAAAAUUUGAAAAAAUGAUAAUGUAACGCUGAAAAUUCCAAUUCCACCAAGGAUUGACUCUACACUCCUACAAGCAGAGCAGACCUACUCAUAUUUACUCUCGUAUCAUAUAAAACAAUAUUGGAACUGGGGACGCAAAAGAAUUUGAAUGUUAAGGUCUCAUGCUCUGCUUUCAUAUCAUGUAAAGUAAUAAUUAUUUUUUGUAAAAGAUUAUAGAAUAGUGUUUUGAUCAAUUGCGCUCAAGCAGGUAGCGCAGUGGCUCUCCGGCGAAGGGGGCUUCGAGGAUAGAAACAAGGAGAAGGGGAUGGUGAUAAGAGGGUGGGCUCCGCAGGCCGUGAUACUGUCGCACCCGUCGGUCGGGGGGUUCGUGACGCACUGCGGCUGGAACUCGGUGCUGGACGGCGUGACCGCAGGACUGCCCGCAAUCUGCUGGCCACACUUCGCCGACCAGUUCAUGAACAAGAGACUAGUCGUCGACGUACUCAGGACCGGCGUGGACGUCGGCAUUAAAGGCCCGCUUUCCUACGUGGAUCCGAACAGCGUGCAGUUGGUGACAAGGCAGGAGGUGGAGCGGGCGGUGCGGAGUGUGAUGGACGGCGGGGAGGAAGCAGAGGAGAGGAGGCAGAAGGCGGCGAAGCUCGCGGAGGAGGCGAGGAAGGCGGUGGAGGAAGGAGGGUCGUCUUACAGAGACUUGGACCGGCUCUUGCAGUUUCCCUCGCAGAAAUAUUGCAAUGCGGCAUAUUGCAAUGGGGCAGGUUAGAUUAGAUUAAAAAAGUACUUCUAAAAUUUAUUUAUCUUAUUAAAGAAUUGCUUAUCUUCAAAAAUAAUUUGUUAUUUAUCUUGAAGGGGUUGGUGUCUUUCUUCUGUUGAGUUAUGAUUUGGUUGGAGUGGUUUGGUAUUGUGGCAGUAAAUUUUCCUGUUCUUAAAAUUCUCUGGUCCAGUUGUUCAUACGGCUGUCUCCUUUAAUAAUUAAUGGUAAAGACUUUUCAAUUUGCAAGAAUGCUACCUCCCAAAUUACAAUUCGUUUCGUCAUCAUUUUUUUCUUGUCUUCUUUGCCUACGGUGGCGAGGCCUAUGGUGGCGAUGUAUCAAACUACAGAGACAACUAUGAAUGUAUCAGGGAGGAUAUAUAUACAAAUCAUAGAAUAUUAAGAAAAUUAAAUCUAAUCACUUAAUUUUUGCAUAAACUUAUUUACAAUUUAGCACCUUUACAUGGACCCAAAUAAAACAAAGGGAAAACUUCAAAUAUCCAUCUUGUGGUUUCACUUUUUCUCAUUUUAAUAUCCUGUGGUUUAAAGUGUAUCAAAUUAGUACUAUGUGGUUUUGCACUUUCUUACUUAGUACCCUGUGGUUUAAAGUGUAUCAAGUUAGUACUCUGUGGUUUUGUACUUUCUCACUUUAGUACCCUGUCGUUUCGCACUUUUUCACUUUAGUAUCCUGUGAUUUAAAAACCACAGGAUACUAACUUGAUACAAAAAUAAAAUCACAGAAUACUAACUUGAUACAAAAAUAAAACUAUAGAGUACUAAUACACUGUAAACCACAGAGUACUAAAGUGAGAAAGUGCGAAACCACAAGGUACUAACUUGAUACAGUUUAAAUCACAGGAUACUAAAAUGAAAAAGUGCGAAACCAUAGGAGGGUUUUUCAAGUUUUUCCUAAAACAAAUCCUUCUUUUAUAUGUAUAUUUUUUCAUAGACCGAGAUCUUUGUUUUUAAAUAUUAACAACAUACUAAUUUUUAGAAUUUUUAAUAUUUAUUUUUUAUUAUAUUAAAACUAUAAAAAUAUAUAUUAAUUAUAUUUGUUAUUUUUGGUAAUAUUUAUUUUUGUUAACUUUGAGAAAAAUACUUCAGAUUUCUAGAAGAGAGGUUUUUAUUAUUAUUAAUACAUUUAUAUGUAAAUUUAGUAAAAAUAUUUAUAUUAAUAAUUUAAAAUUAUAUUGCUUUCUUUUCGAGCUAGCGCCGUUACUGGAAGACGAAGGAGGCGCAGGCGGCAAUGGGUGCACUUAGGGAUGCAAACGGAUCCCGGUUGGUGGAGCUCCCGCCCCGAUCCGCCCCGACGGGAGCAGUAAAUGGGAGAAAAUAAACGGAUUCGGGGCAGUAAACGAGGUAAGUUUUACGAUCCGAGACGGAUUCGGGACAGAAAACGGGGGAAAUUUUGAUCCGCCCCGAAUCCGCCCCGAAUCCGUCCUGUCAUGAUCCGCCCCGAAUCCGUCCCGAAUCUACCCCGAAUCCGCCCCGUCAUGAUCCGCCCCGAAUCCGCCCCGAAUAUCAUUUAUAUUUUUUAAAAAAUAUUCCUAAAAAAUAAUAUAUUUACAAAAAAGCUCAAAAUACAAAUAAGUUAUUACUCUUAUUUCUAAUGUAUUUGAAACAUUUGAAUUUUGUUUUGAAUUGUGAUUGNUAAUGGUAAAGACUUUUCAAUUUGCAAGAAUGCUACCUCCCAAAUUACAAUUCGUUUCGUCAUCAUUUUUUUCUUGUCUUCUUUGCCUACGGUGGCGGCGAGGCCUAUGGUGGCGAUGUAUCAAACUACAGAGACAACUAUGAAUGUAUCAGGGAGGAUAUAUAUACAAAUCAUAGAAUAUUAAGAAAAUUAAAUCUAAUCACUUAAUUUUUGCAUAAACUUAUUUACAAUUUACCACCUUUACAUGGAGCCAAGUAAAACAAAGGGAAAACUUCAAAUAUCCCCUUGUGGUUUCAUUCUUUCUCAUUUUAAUACCCUGUGGUUUAAAGUUUAUCAAAUUAGUACUUUGUGGUUUUGCACUUUCUUAUUUAGUACCCUGUGGUUUAAAGUGCAUUAAGUUAGUACUUUGUGGUUUUGCACUUUCUCACUUUAGUACCCUGUGGUUUCGUACUUUCUCACUUUACUAUUCUUGUGGUUUAAAAACUAUAGGGUACUAACCUGAUACAAAAAUAAAACCACAGAAUACUAACUUAAUACAAAAAUAAAAUUAAAGUACUAACUUGAUACACUUUAAACCACAGAGUACUAAAGUGAGAAAGUACGAAACCACAGGGUACUAACUUGAUACAGUUUAAACCACAUGAUACUAAAAUGAAAAAGUGCGAAACCGUAGGAGGGUUUUUCAAGUUUUCCCUAAAACAAACCCUUCUUUUAUAUGUAUAUUUUUUCAGAGACCCAGAUCUUUGUUUUUAAAUAUUAACAACAUACUAAUUUUUAGAAUUUUUAAUAUUUAUUUUUUAUUAUAUUAAAACUAUAAAAAAAUAUAUUAAUUAUAUUUGUUAUUUUUGGUAAUAUUUAUUUUUGUUAACUUUGAGAAAAAUACUUUAGAUUUCUAGAAGAGAGGUUUUUAUUAUUAUUAAUACAUUUAUAUGUAAAUUUAGUAAAAAUAUUUAUAUUAAUAAUUUAAAAUUAUAUUGCUUCCUUUUCGAGCUAGCGCCAUUACUGGAAGACGAAGGAGGCGCAGGCGGCAAUGGGUGCACUAAUAGAGGACUCGCAAAGGCAGGAGGCGUCGAGCAUAAACAUGGUGUGAAGUGAUUAUCACCUCCUUCGCCGGGGGUACCACCUAUCGGCUUAUAAUCCUUGAAUGGCCUGCUCCAUGUCGUUGUUGAUGUCCACAGGGUCACUGGGCACUGCAACUGCCGCUGCCGCCCUCGUCCUCGUCUCCGUCUCCGUCCUCGUCUCCCUACCUGAAGCUACAUGAAGACGCGACAAUGCGGAGCUCAUGCACUUGUUGAUGUGGCCACCAAAAAUGCAUCGCGUAUAUAUUUAUAUAUAUAUAUUAAUUGAUAAUAACAUCACGUCAACAAAAUGGUCCCUCAAUAUGUCACGUCCUGCACAAGUCAAUCACAGACUAUCAUGUGUCCAAAAAAAAUAUUGGACGCGUCCGGUGCACCAUAAACCAAUACUAAAAUAUGUAUAAAUGAUAAAUUUUCAUAGUACAAUAAUUUAUUUAGAGAAAGAGAGAGAGAGAGAGAGAGGAGGUGAAGUAGAAGUAAAAAUUAAAGAGAGAGAGAGAGAGAGAAGGUGGAGUUAGGGAUGUAAAAUGAGUCGGGCGGCACGUGGGCCGUCCGGCUGGGUGCUAUAAGCACCCGUGCUGGCCCGGCCCGACCAAAACAUUUGGGCCGUGCUGGGCCUACAUUUUGCAGCCUGAUGGUCCGGCACGGCACGGCCGAAAACAGGCCUGGGCCGUGCCAGGCCGAGGAGGGGCAAGCGGCCCGGCACCCCAAGACAUAGCCCCCCUCCUCCCCAGGAGCCUUCCUCGCAAAGUAUGCUAGACCUUGGGAGGAGUGGGUUUGGUCCAAUGGACCAAACAGUUUUGGUCCAUUGGACUAAAAAUUCAUGUCUAUUUUUUUUUCAAAAAAAUAAUACAAAUUUAUUUUUUUAAUUUUUAAAAUAUUUGUUAUUUUAUAAUUAUUUUUAUAAAUUUUAAAUUUUUAAUCAAAAUAUCAAUUUAAAUAUAAGUAUUUAUAUUUUUAGAUUUUAAAAAUUAAAAAUAAAAUAAAUAUUUUAAGGGGCCGGUCUGGAGCACAGCCUGACCUGGCAUGGCCCAUGCCUUUCGGGCCGAAGGGCCGUGCCGGGUUUAAGGCUAGAUAGCUUGGACCCGGCACGACCCGGCCCAAAUUUGAAACCGAGCCGGGCCGACUCUUAGCCAGUUUCAGCNAAGAAGGAAUUCCCACAGGCAAAGUUGCAUCAAUAUUUAGUAAUGUUGAUCAACAAUUCUCUAAUAGGGAUUGUUGGAACCAUCUUAGAAACUUAAGAAGAAAGGACUUGGAUAAUGGAGAUGCACAAGCAGUCCUAAGUUAUUUUAAAAAGAAGCAGGCUGAGAAUCCGAAUUUCUUUUAUGCUAUUCAAUGUGAUUGUGAUGCUCGAUUAGUAAACUUAUUUUGGGUGGAUGCUCGAUCUCGUUUGGCUUAUGAAUAUUUUGGUGAUGUUGUUACAUUUGACACAACAUACAAAACUAACAAGUACAACAUGCCAUUUGCCCCUUUUGUUGGAUUGAAUCAUCAUCGUCAAUCAAUUUUAUUUGGUUGUGCUUUGUUACAAGAUGAAUCUGAACAAAGUUUUAUUUGGUUAUUUGAAACUUGGCUGGAGGCAAUGCAUGGAAAGUCACCCAUAUCUAUUAUUACUGAUCAAUAUUUAGCUAUUGGAGCAGCUGUGAGAAAAAUGUUUCCAAGAGCUCGUCAUCGUUUAUGCCUUUGGCUUAUUAAAAAAAAAUUUCCAGAGAAGUUGUCACAUAUAUAUCAUAAAAACUCUGACUUCAAGCGUGAAUUAAAAAGAUGCAUUCGUAAUUCACCUUCUAUAGAAGAGUUCGAAAGGGAUUGGUAUGAACUGAUGAUCACGAAUGGCUUAGAAGAAAAUGAUUGGCUUCAAGGUCUCUACAAGAUUAGAGAGUUAUGGAUACCUGUGUAUAACUGAAGGAUCUUUUUUGCAGGAAUGAAUACAACCCAAAGAAGUGAAAGCAUCAACACAUUUUUUGAUGCUUUUGUAGAUUCAACAACUUCAUUAAAAGAGUUUGUCACAAAGUAUGAGAAAGCAGUUGAUAAUCGUUAUGACAAAGAAAAGAAAGAAGAUUUUGAUUCAAGGCACAAAUCACGCAUUUUAAAGAUUGGGUCAAAAAUAGAGCAACAUGCAGCAUCAAUUUACACAAGAAAUAUUUUUAACAUUUUUCAAGAUGAGUUUGUUAAAAGCUUUCACUUCACAAGGGAAAAGGUUGAAAAGAAUGGCUCUGUUUGUCAAUACAAAGUGUUGAGUUGCUUUGAUCUCAAGGAUAAUUUUGUUGUUUGUCUAGAUCUAGACUCAAAAGCUGGUAGUUGUGGAUGUCAUCUCUUUGAAUUUAUGGGUAUUUUGUGCAGGCAUAUGUUAGCGGUUUUUCAUUUUGAGAAUAUUUUUGAAUUUCCUAGUCAUUAAGUUUUACAACGUUGGACAAAGGAAGCAAAUAGAGGCUAUAGAUGUUAUGGACAUGAAGUCGGUGUCGAAAUUGAUCCUCAUAUGUCUGUAGCAUUACGAAGCAUGAAUAUAUGUCGUUAUAUGAACAAAUUGUCUUGUAUUGCUGAGAAAUCUGAUGAGAUUUAUAGAAUUAUCAUUGCCGACUUGAGUCAACUUUGCACGAAGGUUUGUAUGAUGGAGAAUCAAUCUUCUGUAUGUAAUGAAAUUGAUGACACAAGUCAAAAAGUGAUAGAUCAACAUGUGCACCAACAGAGAAAUGAAGCAACUAUAAGUGAUCCACAUGUAUCGCAAACCAAAGGUCGUAAAAAAGUUACCGAGAAGGAGUCACACAGUGGGAGAUUAAAAAGUGGUCUUGAGAUCUCGUUGGCUCGUGUAGCAGUAAAAAGAAGAUAAUGUCAGUUGUGCGGGGGAUAUGGUCAUAAUAAGCGUAGUUGUAAGGAGAAAGAAGAUCAUACAAAUGUGAAAUCAUCUGCUAGUCGAAAUUCAUAAUUUCAUGUGAAUUUUGCUAUAUACUAUAUUUUGUGUAAGUAUUUACUAUCAAAUAUUUUCUAUUUUUAUUGAAAUUGGCAUGUAAUUAGUAUUUUUGUUACUAACUAAAUAGUUUUCUCACAUUUUCAAUCUUUUCCAAAUAUCUUUCAGGUACACUUUUGUAUCUUACUAUAGCAGGUUAAAUAGGAGCAAAGAUUGCUUUGCACAGGUGAUUAGCGCAAGUCGACAUACUCAUCUUAUAUACUUUCACUUUUAUUAUAGAUUGAAGUUCUGACUUGUUUUUUAAUUUUGACUACUUGCAGGUUCUUUUUUGUGUUCUGUUUUGUAACAUUAUAAUUCAUAGAAUAUUGUCUAGAUAUUAUUUUUGGACUCAACUGAAUGUAAACCUUUAAAGAUUUGUGAUGACAUUUCAGGUUUUUGUAAUUACUCUAAUUAUAUAUAUAGGUUGCAAAUACAAUCUGAAAGGUGAUAUUUUUUUUCUAUUUAGAAUGGUUGAAAUAGUGUAAAUGUGAAACUUAUGAAGUUUUUCUUUUUUUUGGGGGGGGGGUGGUUUUGAGCAUGAAAGUUUACAUAAUUUUUUUUAUCCCAUACUCAUGUAUAAGGUUUGUUACUCUAAUUAUUUACAUUAAUUUUAUGUGCACAAAAAACAUUCGUUUUUUUAAAAGUGUGAAAGCAUAUAAUGAAGUUUAACAGUAAAACAUAUUAUAAAGGGGUUAUUGCUAUAAUUGGCCCUUGAACUUUACUUAAUCUGUUAAUAAUUUCUUAAAAAUUUUAUUUAUUUUAAUGUGAAUUGUUGUAGUCAAUUAAAUUUUGAUUUUUUUAUAAAAUUAAAUUUUAGUGUAUUAAAAUCAAUUGCAACCAUCUAGUUAAUUUUGAAAUUAACUGAAUUUUACUAAAUUUCAGUGUAUUAAAAUUCAGAUUCUUUAUCCCUUCUAAUGUAUGUUGCGAGUAAGUGAAAGGAGUAUAGAGCUGCACAGUUCAGGCCAACAAGGAGAAAAAAAAUCAUGAAUGCAUGCACCAAAAGAUAUUGGGGAGAGAGAGAGAGAGAGUGCUAGUGCGAGAUCGCGUCAGGCAUUAAAGUGAUGGUGAGAGAUAUGACAAUUAUUUGAUCUCAACUCAAUGACCAGUUAAAAAAAUUGCCAUUACUUUAUUUCGAUCCCUGGAUUAUAUUUAAAUCUACGGUCCAAAAAGAGUAUAACAUUGUUCACCAUUGAGUGGUUGUCUGGGGACAAAAAUUUGUUGGGCAGCGUGCCCAAACUAUUUGGGCACGCUGCCCAACAAAUAUUUGUCCGUUGUCUGGAGGAGGGUAUUGAAUUCAAAUUCUUAAUUAAUGUACUUGCGAUAUAUUUGAAUUCAAAUUCUUAAUUAAUGUACUUGCGAGAGAUAUAUAUAUAUAUAUAUAUAGGGUAAUUUCAUCACUAGCUUUCUUAAACAUGAAAAUAUUACAAAUACUCCUAUAAAAUUAAAAAUAUCAUAUAUACCCCUUCAAAUGUAGAAAAUUAUCAUAAUUAUUCUUUCUUCUAACUGACGUUAGGGUAAAGUUAUAAAAUUACUAAUUUACCCCUUAAAAAGUUGGUUGUGUUGUUCUUUUGAUAACAAAUAAUAAAGGAGUAAUUUCAUGAAUACCCUUCUAACUUUUAAAAAUAACAUUUCUAACACUAAUUAGUGGAUAAAAUAUGUGGAAACUCCUCACCUAUAGGUCAUUUUGAAAUAGACUCCCUUAACUUCAAUUUUUUAACAUUUAGGGCCCUUGAACUUCUAGUUUUUUUUUGUUUUUGCAUUUUACUUAGUUAAAAGUUUUUCAAUUAAGAUUCCUCAUACAUGAAUUUGAUAAGAUUUUUAACUUAGUUGGAAAAAAAAACACUCAAUUGUAAAAGUAAAGAAUCACUAAGGUUGAGAGGAUGUAUAUAUAUAGAGAGAGAGAGUCAGGUUACUAUACUCUUAUGAGUGUGAUCGGCUUUGUACUCAUAAGCCGUUUUCAAUAAUAAAGCUUCUGAAUCGACGAUCCAUACCGUUAAAUAUUAUCUAAAAUAUUUAAAAAUUUCAAGAAAUCAAAUUUUAUAAUUUUUUUAUAUCAUUACGAUCAAAAGAUCUAAAAAUUGAUAAUUUUUAAUGGUCGGUAUGGAAUACUUGCUAUUUUAAUGGUGUAAAAAAAUCAGAAUCGAUUGAAUUUUUGAUAGAAAAUUUUAUUCACUAUCUAAAUAAAGAUCAAUAUUGAGAUUUCGACCGUUCAUUUUAUGCCCACUUGAUGGACGUUAUUAUGAUUUUGAAAAAUUAUAAAAUUUAUUUUUUAAAAGUUUUAAAUACUCUAGAUCAUAUUUAACGGAGUGGAUCAUCGAUUCGGAAGCUCUAUUAUCGAAAACAACUUAUUAGUACAUAUGGCUCUAUAUUUAUAAAAGUAUUGUAGCCCUACUUUUAUAUAUAUAUAUAUAUAUAAUUCAAAGUUAAGACCAUACUGAAGUGGACUAAUAGUUGAGAGGUUCUUCAUACAAUGUUACUUUUUUUGUUGACAAUAAAUGUUCAAUUAAAAAAUUACUGCUUGAGCAGGUUAUAUGAAAAAUACUCUAAUAUCAAGAAUUUUGAUAUCAAAAUAUUUUUAAUGUGACUUAUGUGAGUUAUUUAAAUAAAAUUCAAAAAAAAAUCUUGAAAUAAUUAAUGUUGAAUACUACAAUGGACAAUUGCAUUACAACUAUUAUAUAAUUUAAAAGCAAAAAAUUAUAACAAGAUUUAAUUAUUACACUUAAUAGACUGUAGAUUUUUAAUUGUAAAAUUUUAAAGAGAAUGUUGAAUUAUUAUGUGAUUGAAAGGUUAAUAAUUAAUCAUAUAAUUAAUCUUAAAUUAUUACACUUAGUUAAAUUAGUAAUAAGGGUAAAUUGGUAUUUAUAGAAUUUUCGAUGAUUUUUUAACAAAAUGUUAGUCUUAAGGAUAUUUGUGAAUAUUUUUGCUUUUUAGAGGGGUAUUGUUGAUAUUUUCUAAUUUAAAUGGGCAUUUAUGAAAUUAUUGUCUCCUAGAGGGGUAUUGAUGAAAUUAUCCCUGUAUAUAAUGGGUGAGGCCGUGGGGGGUAUAGAUAACAUAUAUAAUAAACUAGGUUUUGGUUUUAAUAUUUUAUAAAAAUGUAAGAAGAUGAUGCUAAAUUAUAGACAAUUAAGUACAUUAAUAAUUGUCAGUUAAGAGCAAGUUCAUCAAUAUUUCUUUUUUAUAAAUUUUCUGCAUUUUCAGAAAGUAUAUAUAAUCUACCGUACGGAAUAAAUAAGAGUUAAUUAUUUAUUACGACAGUUCUAAUAAAAACUUAUUAAGAGAAUACUCAUAAUCAUUUUUAGAGUUUAGAAGAGAUAAAUGAAGAACCCAACAACUCAGAUUUAUUUUUGCAAAUUAACUCCCAUCUGCGGGGCGGUAGAAAUGCAAAUGGAGCUCGCCCUCUACCUGUCUGAGUGUUUUCCUCACUUUUUUUUUUUUCUCUGUUUUUUUUUUUAAUAUUUUUUUGCUGCCUCGGCCUCAAUCAUCCAAUAAUUUUUAUUUUUUAUUUAAAAAUUAUAUAUUUAUAUAAGUUGGUUGGCUGGUUAAAUUAUCUUUUGAGAGAAAUAUAAUAUGCACCUGCCCACCACUUGGGGCGGUGUGAGUCGGCCAGCCAAGGAGAGGGGCAGGGCGAACUCUGGCUUUUUUUUUUGUUUUUUUUUUUUUCAAUUUUUUUCUCAAGAAGAUUUAUAAUUUUUUUUUAAGUCCAUCUAUUUUUAUUUAUUAUCAUAAAAAUUUAAUAUAUAAAUAAUUUUUAAAUAGUUUAGACUAUUUGUAUAUAAUAUAAAAUUUUAAUUUUAUAAUAUUGAGCAUUUAGAUAUAGAUUGUAUAUUAAAAAUACAAGAAAGAAUUGAUAGAGUUAGGUUAUUUUAUAUUUACAAUUUAGUGUGUGAAAAUGCAUAAAUAUACUAAUAAAUUUAUAAAGUUAAGCGGGUACAUUUAUAUUUAAAGUUAAAAUGCUAUUGACUGACUCAAAUUUAAUAUAUAGAAAAAUUGAAUAAUAAAAAUAAAAUUUUGAAGAUUGGAUUUAUACUUUUUGUCCUUAAAAUUAUAAGACGAGUGCACUUUAAUUCUCAAACUUUAAUAUGGUUAUAGAUUUAAAUUAUGAACCAUGUGACACUUUCAUUCUCAAACUUUAAUUAGUGUUACAAUUUCUGACUUUAAAUAUAAAGUUUUUAUAUUUUAGUUUACAUUUUUAUUGUUAUAAAUAUAAUUUAUUAUUCGUAUAGUUUUUGCUGUUAUGAAGGACCAAAAAAAAAUAUUUUGCCGGAGCGUCCACACAUCCUAUUACAUACAAACCCGACAAUGGCAAGGUGCAAAGUUAAUUUGGCCAGCAGAAUAAAACAGCUUGUGCAUGUGCUUGAAUCAAGACAUGAAUACAAACAAAUACGAAAUGGUUGCUAGUGCUUGAUCAAGACAUGAAUACAAACAAAAAUACAGAAUAGGUAGAGAGAGAGAGAGAGAGAGGAGAGAGAGAGAUCUUCAUGUGCGAAGAAAAUAAAAAGGGCCCAUUUGGCAUAAAACAAUCAUAGUUUUUUGGCUUUUACAAAAACCGAACCACUUUUUCGUUUUUACAGAUCGACGCUUUUUCAGCAAACUGACUAAAAUACUUUUUUUUACUUUUUCUCUCCCUCUUUCUUUCUCUUCUUUUUUCUCUCGUUCAUUUUUUUUUCUCUCGCCGAAGAAGCAAGGAGGCAGAGGUGGACGGAGGCGGGGCAGGCGAAACGGCGUCUUCGCCUUUCACCCUCAUUGCUCACCGCCCUCGCUUGCCUAGCCGCGCACCCCAUUUCCUCGCUCCGACCCACCGACGGCCCGCGCGACUCUUUUUUUAUUUUUUUUCCCUCUCGACUCUCCUCACGGUCUCCAACAACGACGCCUCUCACCCUUUCCCGUCCUUUGUCAUCUCCCUCUCCUCCUCCUCUGCGCUCUUGGACGACGACGCAUUUCGCCGACGCCAACACCGUGGAGGUUGCUGCGGCGCUGCAGUCUCGGAGCGGGGAGUCCUUAACGGCACGUCUCGCCGACGACGUGGCGUUGGCAGGAGGAGACAAAAAAUAUUAUAGAAAAAAUAAGAAAAAAAAUAGAGAAAAAAUUAUAGAAAAGAAAGAUGAAAAUAAAAUGCACAGCUAAAAAAAAAAAAUUAUACUUGUUUUUAAAAAACGUUGCAAUGUUAUGAUAUAAGUUGUACUACUAAGAUGUAAACUGCAGCUUUAGAUGAAAAUACACUUUUUAAACAAAUUACGCUUUUGAAAGAUAUUUACACUGUUUCUCCUCUUAUUGCACUCUUUCAGAUGUAAAUUGCAUACAUUAAGAUGAAAGUUACACUCUUUUAAUCAAAAUUACACUCUUUGAGAGAUAUUUAUACGAUUUUUCUUCUUAUUGCCACUCUUUCAGAUGUAAACUAUAUCUCUUUAAAGCAGAUAUUAUACUAUUUUUCUCUUGUUGUACUGUUUCUUCUCUUGUUGCACUAUUUUCUCUUAUUACAUUAUUUUCUCUCUUAAACCUGCACCUUUAAGCGAGAACAGUAUAACAAGAUGAGAAUAAGUGCAACAAGAGCGAGAACAGUACAACAGAAAGAGAGAAUAGUAUAAAUAUCUCUAAUGAUGCAGUUUACAUCUCAAAGAGUGCAAGAAAAAAGAAACAGUGUAAAUAUCUUUCAAGAUGUGUAACUUUCAUUUAAAAGGUAUAACUUUCAUUUUAAUGGAUGAGCUUUACAUCUGAAAGAGUUCAAUAAGAGGAGAAACAGUAUAAAUAUUUUCAAAGAGUGUAAUUUUCGUUUAAAGAGUGUAAUUUUUAUCGUAAAGCUGCAGUUUAAAUCUUAUAGCUGCAACGUUCUUUUAAAACAGUACAUUUAUUUUAAAGUGCAAUUUCAUACUCAUCUUUCUUUUUAUAUAAUUCUUUAUUUAUUUUUUUUCUUGCUUUUUCUAUAUUUUUUUUUUUAUACAGUUCUUGCCACGCUGGCGACAAACGCGCCGCUAAGACCCUGCUCCGAGAUGCCGCGCCCAGCGACCUCCACGGUGUCGGUGUCGGCGAAGAUGCAUCAUCGUCGAAGGCGGGCAGAUAGGAUGGAGGAAGAGAGCUGAGGGACGAGAAGGGCGGAGAAGAGCGGAGAGGGUCGUCGUCAGAGAUGGUGGAGGAGUCUGGAGAGAAAAAAAAAAAGAGAUUGCUGUGCGACCUUAGUGAGUCGGAGUGAGGAAGGUGGGGUGGUGCGCGGCUGCGGGCGGAUAGCAUGAGAGUAGAGGCGAGACUGGCGGUUUCCGCUUCUGCCUAUGCUCCGUGCCUCUUUGGCGAGAGAAAAAAAAUGAACGAGAGAAAAAAAAAAAAGUGAGAGGAAAGAGGAGAGAGAAAAAGUAAUAAGCGGUAUUUUGCUUAGGCGGCUGAAAAAGCAGACAAAUCUACAAAAAUGAAAAUGUGGCCCUGUUUUGCAAAAACCCAAAACUAGUGGAUUUUUUAUGCAAACUGGCCAAAUAACAAGGGUAGAAAAAGGGAGACCAUCUAAGUUUAAUUAGUCUGUCCUAUAAUUAUUUGGGAAUGCUUAAAUCACGCGAUAAAAUAAAUCUAGCUGUUCUUAUUUUAAGGGCGAGAUUGAUUUUUGCAUAGUGGUUACCUGCUCAACAGUUACCAUUCGUAAAGGUAAUAUGAAAAAAAAUAAUCAAACUAAUUACCAAAUUUAAACAACCCUACACAAUAUUUGUCUUGUUUAAUUUUGUUACUUACCAAAUUAGAUAGUGAUAAUUUGAUAAGUUAAUAAACCUUUAUAAAAUUAAAUUUAAAAAUCAAUUUGAGGCUUAAACUUUAUAAUUUGUACAUUAAAUUCAAAUUUAAUUUUAAUUUUAAUUUUCAGAAUGAAAAAUUUAUGUUUAAAUGAUAGUAUAUUUCAAUUCAAAUGUUAAUUGAUAUUAAGACACGAAAUUUCAAAUAUAUUAAUUAUUUUAAAUUAUAAAUCAUGCUUAUUUAAUAACAAUAACUUUUAUUUUUUAUUUAAAUAAGAGGCUUCUAUUUUAAAUUAAAUUCAAAAUUGUUCAUUUAAUAGUAAAAACAACAUUAAAUUCAAAAAUUGAUAAAAUUAAAUUUUAAAUUUAGAUUUAGUUUAUAUAUAGUUAAAAAUAAAAUUGUUAACUAUUUAAACAAAUGAUUUAUGUUUGAAAAUUAACUUUAGAUUAUAAAUCUGAAUUUACAAAGAUGACAUGUUAUGAGAGAUGGCGAUAUUUUUAAAUUUACAAAGAUGGCAUAUUAUGAGAUAAAAAUUUACCAAAUGCCCUCAUUGCAAUCUCUAUGCCAUGAAAAUAUUGUUGCCUCGUUAAAGAGGUGACUGGUACCGAUGCCAUCAAGUGCCAGUCACCGUCUUUUAAUAGAUGCAUCAUACGUCCAUUUAAAAAAUUUAAUGGUUAAGAUUUGUUUGGUGUAUAGGAGUAUUCCUCAAAUUAUUUGAGAGCAGAAUCGUAUACCAUCGCGCUUUAUUUAUUAAAAAAAAAUUUGGAAAAAAAACGUGUAGGCCUCCUAAAAAGAAAAAUAUGGUAAAAAGUUAAAGAAUAAAAGAAUUAACUACUACACAAAUAUUCCAGUCUUUUUUCCAAGUUAUAGUAGAGCUUCAAAAUGACAGAAGAGGUCAACUGCACACAAAUUUCAAUAUUUAAAAAUCGUGUCAAAUUUUACAUGCCAAAUUAAAAUUUUAUUAAUCCACCAGUGAGAUAUCUUUUAAAACAUUUCUUAGAUGGCAAACCCCAAGUAAAAAUUGAAAACUUCAGAAAACUUAAUAAAGAAAAGGAAUAAUUUAAAAUUUUUAUUUAUUUAGGGGUGAAGGGUAUAAAGUAAUAUCCAUUUAAGGGUGGGUGUACCGAAGUAUAAUUUCACUCUGUAAGUAGCAUUUCCUCUCGCGCCGUGUUACAGCUGCAAAGCUGGUCCCGUUUCUCAUUCCCCACCCAACAGCAUGGCGACGAAGGGCUCGCCCCCAAACAUCCACGCACUUCUGUCCUCGUCCCUUCAUGGCGCAGGGCACCUCAUCCCGGCCAUGUGACAUGCCGCGCUGCUCACCGCCGCGGCGCCGCCGUAACCUAUCAUACCACCGUCAACGCCGCGCGCCUCCGCCCUCGCGAUCGCUCGUCGCCUCCUCUCCACUCGCGCUUUCGCCUCGCCGAGACCUCCGUUCCCCGGCGCCUCCUUCGGCCUCCCGAGGGCUGCGAGAGCCUCGACCUCAUCCGUCCCCGCGCCUCGUCCUCAACUCUUCGCGCCGCCAGCGGCGCUCCGCGGGCCUCACUCCUCCUCGCUCCCUGCAGGGCCGCGCCCUCGUGCUCGUCGCCGACAUCUGCCAGGCCUGCGGCGCGGACGUCGCCGCCGACCUGCAUCCCGCGCCUCCUCAACCACGUUUCCUCCGGCCUCACCGUGCUCUCCUACCUCUCCGCCGAGGGCCACGGCCUUCACGGCCCCGCGCCGCGCGCGGCGGAGCCCUUCGAGAUCCCGGCGGUAACGCACGGAUCACGGCACGCUCGUCGAGGUCUCCGGUGGUUCUUUUCCCCGGGUGGGAGGAGAUCAAGCGGAGCACCCUCGAGGCCGAGGCCACCGCCGACGGGCCGUCCUCAACACCUUCGAGCUCCUCGAGGGCGACAUCGCGCGCCUAGCGGCCAUGCUCGGAAACCCGUUCUACUGGAUGGCCCCUUGUGCUGUAGUAUAAGGAUACGCGGCGGCAGCCGUCGGGAGGGCGGAGACGCCGCCGUCGACGCGCGGCCGGUGGCGUCGAGUGGCUUGCGGCCAAGAAGCCCGCUCGGUAAUCUACGUCGGCUUCGGGGCCUCAGCUACGUGCGCCGAGCAGGUCAUCGAGAUCGGCGAGGGCUUGCGGCGGCCGCGCGCCGUUUGUCCUCGUCAUCAAAACAGACCGAGCUGCGCCCGAGGUAACGUCGUGAAAUACUGUUUAUAUAUAUAUUUAUAUAUAUAAUAUAUAUUAUAUAUAUAUAUAUAUAUAUAUAUAUCGUAUAGCUAUUAUACUAUUAUAAGUAUUGGACCUUCGUAUUCAUAAGUUGUUUUCGAUGAUGAAGCUUCCGAAUCGACGAUCAACUCCAUUAAAUAUGAUCUAGAGUAUUUUAAACUUUUAGAAAAUAAAUUUCGUAAUUUUUCAAAAUCAUAAUAAAUUCCAUCAAGCGGGCAUAAAAUGAACGGUCAAAAUCGAACGAUGUCUUAAAAAUGGAUGAUCAGAUCCUUCAAUUUAAGAUUGGAGUUAUUGAUCUUUAUCUAGAUAGUGAAUAAAAUUUUCUAUCAAAAAUUCAACCUAUUCGAAUUCUUUUGCACCGUUAAACUAGCAAGUAUUUCAUACCGGCCGUUAAAAAUUGUCAAUUUUGUGAGCUUUUGAUCGUAAGGUAAAUAAUGUCGAAAAAUUAUGAAAUUUGAUUUCUAGAUAUUUCAAAUGCUCUAUAUAAUGUUUAACGAUGUGGAUUGUCGAUUCGGAAGCUCUAUCAUCGAAAACAACUUAUGAGUACGAGGGCGAUCAUACUCAUAAUAGUAUAGUAGCCAGACUCUCUCUCUCUCUAUAUAUAUAGAGAGAGAGAGAGAGAGAGUUGAGCUAGAAUACUCUCAAAAGCACGGAGGGGGCGGUACUUUUAAGAUUUUAACUAUUGAAUUGAGAGAUGUAAGGUUGAAAUGAUAGUGGUAAGUAGAAUAAUGUUUGAUCCAAGGGGUAUUAAUAAUUAAGGAGUAGAUCCAAGAACUAAAAAUUUAGAAGCACAAAAAAAUUGGUGCUUCUAAAAUAUUCUAGCUCAACUGCUUAUUAAAAAAUAACAUUUUCCUUUUUUUGUUUUCAAAAUUAUCCUUUCUCACAAAACAUUGCCCAUCAUCAUUAAAUUAUCCUUUCUCACAAAAUAUUGCCCAUCAUCAUUUCUUAACCAUUGAGCUUUAUGGGGUGGGAUGUUCAAUAUUCUAUUCUUUUAAAUUUUUAUUUUAUAAAAUAUUUUUAAUUUAUUAGAUCUAAUUGGAAGAAUGGCAUAAAAGUUAUGGGCCAUUCUUUUUUUAUUUUUUUAUUUUUUGAGAAAUAGGUAGUAUGCUAUCUGAUUUAUUUAUUUCAUUUAUAAAUAAACUUAGCUAGAAAUGUGAAUCAACUAGGAUUUGAAUUUGAAUUUCGGAUACCAACCAUCAAACCCUUGUCAUUUACUCUAAGAACGAUCGGUGAUAUCAGCCAUCCUCUUUUACGAAAUUCUUAUCUGGCCUUUUUAAAUUUUUUUUGUUCUCAAUAAUUUUUAAUAAAAAAAAAAGUCUUUGAUCGCAGUUUUCCCGAGAACGCAUUGAGAGCGCCCACGUUUCCCAAAAACGCAUCAGGAGAACGACGUAAUUACGGAUUAACUAGUAUCUCUCAAUAAUUUUCAGUUUAAAAAAGGGUUAAUUAUAUUAUAGGUUCCCUACUAUAUUUUUAAUUUGGCCCCCCUUUUUUUUUUUUUUUUUGGCAAUCGUGUCCCUAACUUUUUUAUUUUAUUUCAAUUAAGUCCCAGCUUGACAUCUUUUUACAUAUCAAUUUUAGUCCUUAAAUUUUGUACGUAAAACACUGUAGUCUUCAAAAAUAAAAAUUCAAAUUCAAAAUCAAUACUAAAUUAAAAUAAAAAACUAAUGAGAAAUUCGAAUUCAAAGAGAUAAUUUUGAUUUACAGCUUUAUUAAAAUUUUGAAUUGAAAUUUAAAUUUUAAAUUUGAAUUUUAAAAUUUGCAUUCAAACUUAAAAUUUUGAAUUUGAUUUUGAUAUUUUAAUUUGCAUUUAAAUUAAAAAUUUUGAAACAAAAAUUUAAAUUUAAAAUUAAAAUUAAAAAUUCAAAAUUAAAUUCAAAAUUUUGAUUUUAAAUUUUAAAUCAAAAUUUCAAGUUUGAGUGGCCGAAUCCAACACCAGGAAGCAAAACAGAAGACCAGCCCGCUCAUAGGCAAGGCAUCUUUGUCAAUCGUCACCCAUCAUUCGAAUCGAGAGACUCUAUUCCGUCACUAGUUACAGCUCUCUAGUAUGAUAGUUGUUGUUAAGCAGUUAUCUAUUUAAUAAGAAGUACGAAUCGAACCCUCGCCUCGACUCACCUCUUUCUCUAUAAAAACCCCUCCACUGAGGAGAGCAGAAGCUCCAGGACCCCGCCUCGCUUCUUAAAUAAAGAAGAAAAGAAAGACCAGUAGUACCGCUUCCUUCCCGGCAAACAAGAAUAGGAAUCUUUCUUCCAUCUAACUAACCGGGGAAGAUCUGGAACUGAACUGACUAUUGGCAGUUCAAUCACUUGAAUAUAACAGAAAUCAGUGGCGUCAAUUCAUUGAAUCAAGGUUUGGGUAUUCUUCAGGCUUUUUCGAUUCUCUUUCUGUCUAUUUUUGAGUCUCAUGUGGUACCGGGUAAAAAAAGGGGACAUCAGAAGGAUUCAGUGACAAGUCUUUCUAUUAUCUAUUUAUUGACGAGCGACAUUCAAUUAUUCGGGGUUCUACUGGGGUACGGUAGGUACCAGUGGUCCAAACCGACUUAUUUGAUUCCAGUUAUCUUAUCUUCCGCAUGCCCAUACUUUUUUUCUUUAUAACAAGAGAAAUUAUUUGAUCCAUUGAUUUGUUAAAGAGAAAUUUGUGAUUUGAAGAGUCACUCGGUUACUGGGUCACCUAUUUCUUCAAGAUAAAAUUAGUAAUUCAUAGAAAUAGAAUAAAAUUAAAUGAGACUAACAACAACACGCAAGAAUUGGAAUGCUACGGUACUCAUAGUAUGAAUCUCAUAUAAUAUAAAAUAAUAGUUAUUUCUUGUAAAAGAUUACAGAAUGGUGUUUAAUUUGAUCAAUUGCGCUCAACCAGGUAGCGCAGUGGCUCUCCGGCGAAGGGGGCUUCGAGGAUAGAAACAAGGAGAAGGGGAUGGUGAUCAGAGGGUGGGCUCCGCAGGCGGUGAUACUGACGCACCCGUCGGUCGGGGGGUUCGUGACGCACUGCGGUUGGAACUCGGUGCUGGAGGGCGUGAUUGCAGGACUGCCCACAAUCUGCUGGCCUAGCUUCGGCGACCAGUUCAUGAACAAGAAGGUGAUCACCAACAUACUCAAGACCGGCGUCGACGUGGGGAUUAAAGGCCGCCAGAUAUCGCACAUGGAUAGCGUGCAGCUGCUGUCGAGGCAGGAGGUGGAGCGGGCGGUGCGGAGUCUGAUGGACGGCGGGGAGGAGGCAGAGGAGCGGAGGCAGAGGGCGGCCAAGUUCGCGGAGGAGGCGAGGAAGGCGAUGCAGGAAGGAGGGUCGUCUUACAAGGACCUGGACAGGCUCAUGCAGUUCGCCUCGCAGAAAGAUUGCAAUGGAGCAGAUUAGAUUCUGAUAUUAGAUUAUGAAUUCAUCAUUGAAUAAAAGUUGGUGUGUCUUUCAUGUGUUGAGUUAUGCAUGAGAACGUAGACAUGUCCUGUUGCACCAAUUUGGAUUAUAACUUUUUGCAGCUUAAAAUUUGAUUUCUAAAUAGUUUCAAUAGUAUAGAUCAUGUCUAAUAAAGCGGAUCGUAUGGAGGCCUCUUUACUAUCAAUAGUAUUCUAAUCUAAGAUCAUAAAUGACCUCUUGUCGCAUCAAUUUCUUUUUUAUACUACAGCCUUGUCUCAUCAAUUAUUCAUAAGAAUGAUACAUUUUUGAACUAUUAUAAAUACCCUCGAUAAAUUUUGACCAUUGCACAAAUAUGUAGUCAUAUAACAUAAUUUUAUUGGCUUAUAUAGAAAGAAUAUUAUUAAUUGUAUUUUCAGUUUUGGAAGUUCAUGAAUUCUUACUAUCAAAGUUUAUUAAUAAAGCCUCAUUGUUAUUUAUGACUAUCAAAUUACACACAGUUGGCAUCUAACGGUCGAUAUUUGUAUUCAACAUUACUUAAAAGUUUCUAAACAUCUCACAAAUCUCAUACAAUGGAUAUUUCGAAUGUCAAAAAUUUUCAAAUUUGAUAAUAAACUAUCAACAGAGUAUUAUUCAGGUGACCCGUUGAGGUAAAAGACCAACUACAACAAGCCCAAGUUCAAAAGCAAUGUAAAAGACCCUUCCUUGCCUAUAGGUGGUUCUGAAAUAGAACCUUAAGUUUGAUAAUUUAUUUACACUCUCAACACAUGAUUUUUUUCUUGUAAUUGAAUAUUUUAUGAAAAAUACUACACGUCCGCCUACUUAUAGAUUUAAUCUUAUUACCGUUCUAUCCUAAAAUUCACAAACACCCUAAUUAGGUUUAGAGAGUACAGGUAACUCUUUGUGCAUACAGUAAAGCUUUUAGCCACAUUUGUGUUUGUUCUCCUCAAUCACGAGUAAGAAUGAUCAUUUUUUUAAAAAAAAAGUCUCAAAUUUUAUUUCAAUUUUCUCUGAAAACAAUAAGAUACCAAUCAGGCAACGGCUAAAGUUCAAACGGACAAUUGAAGUCCAUGACCCAAAUCACAUUGCACUAUAUGCACAAGGAAAGAAUCACAAGAGUCGAAUAGAACAGAAAGUAACAAAACAUUCAGCAAAUCUAAGAAGAAAAGAGUACAGAGAUAAUCACGAAGUGUUCAAUAGUUGGGCCGGCAUGGCCAACAUUUAUCCGGGCCAAAUUGGGUUGGGGGUCGGCCCGGUCCGGUCCUUUUAAAAUUCGGCCCGUGCCAUGCUGGGCCAAAUUUUAUGAAUACCCGGACCAUCACAACCCUUCGGCCCGAAUGGCAUAGGCCGUUCCGGCUUAAGGCUGGCCCUUUAGUUUUUUUUAUUUUUUUAUUUUUUAUAAAUAGUAUAAUAUUUAAAAAUAAAAAAUAAAAUAAUUCUUUUAUAAUAUGCUCGCUAAAGAAUUAAAUUUAUUAAAAUAUUUAUAAAAUAAUGAAAUUUUUAAAUAAUUUUUAAAUUUUAGAUUUUAGAUUUUUGAAAAAAAAACUCUUUUUAAAUAUAUUUACAAAAGAAUAUUUUAGAAAAAGAUUAUUUUUUAGAAGGGCCUAGGACUUGGGACCCUAGGCCCUUUUUUUAACUCAGCCUUAGGAGUUGGGGAGCAAGCCCUCCAGCUUGGGGAGCUGGGUUCCCAAGGGCCGCAGGAGUCCCAAGGUCGGGCCGUGCUAGUCCGGUAGGCAUGUCCUAUGCAGGCCGUGCUGUGCCGUGCCGGGCCGACGAGCUCAGUUGGAGUGGCCUAGUACAACUCGUGAUGCCGGAUUAGGCGGGCCAGGCACGGGUUUGUACCCAUGCCGUGCCUGGUACGGCCCGUAGUCGUGCGAGGCCGAGAGGCCCUUUUUGUACCAAUCUAACAAUACUUAAUUUGACAGUACCACAGAGCCACGUGGCAAGCAUUCCUUUGCCUAUUCCACAUGGCGGGCACAAGGCAUUUCUCUCCCCCACAACAGAUGUUCAUUCUCUCUUUUCUCCUCUCCCCUUCUCUCUUUCUCUCUUUUUCCCUAAGGUGGCCCCCCCACUCUCUCUCCUAACAAUCCAGCCAGCUGUCUCCACUCUCUUUCUUCCUUACUCCAGCGGUCCCCCACUCUCUCUCUCUCCCUCCCCUACUCUUUCUCUUUCUCUUAUCCCCUCAUUCUAUUUCUCUCUCUCUCUCUCUCAUCAGAAAUCUUUUCGUGCAGGGUUCGAUCGGCCUUGAGCGGCGACGGCGGUGGCGGCUUAGUAUUUUUUUAAGAGUAGGAACGCAGAAUAUUAUGUUAUCCACUUCAAUUAUUAAAACAAUAAAUUAGGCAACAAAAGUGAGACAGGUAGGCAUCGAAAAAAAAAGAAUCCAACAAUACUUAAUUUGCCAGUACCACAGAGCCACGUGGCAAGCAUUCCUAUGCCUAUUCCACGUGGCGGGCUCAAGGCAUUUCUCUCCCCCACAACAGAUGUUCAUUCUCUCUUUUCCCCUCCCCUCUCCUCUCUUUCUCUCUCUUUUCCUAAGGUGGCCCCCACUCUCUCUCCCCUGACAAUCCAGCUAGCUGUCUCCACUCUCUUUCUUCCUUACUCCAGGUGUCCCCCACUCUCUCUCUCUCUCUCUCUCUCUCUCUCUCUCUCUCUCUCUCCCUCCCCUACUCUCUCUCUCUCUUAUCCCCUCCUUCUAUUUCUCUCUCUCUCAUCGGAAAUCUUUUCGUGCAGGGUUCGAUCGGCCUUGAGCGGCGACGGCGGUGGCGGCUUAGUAUUUUUUUAAGAGUAGGAACGCAGAAUAUUAUGUUAUCCACUUCAAUUAUUAAAAUAAUAAAUUAGGCAACAAAAGUGAGACAGGUAGGCAUCGAAAAAAAAAAAUAUAAUAAAAAGCUAAAGAAAAAAAAGACAGUACCUCUCAGUCUCUUAUAUAGAGUUUGUAUCUAUAGUAAAGCUUCAAAAUGACUGUAAGAAACAACAGCAACAAACAUAUUUAAUAUUUAAAAAUCGUGCCGAAUUUUAUUAGCCAACUAAAAAAUUUUAUUAAAUUCACGAGUGAGUAAUCUCUAAUAAAAAUGUUUUACUAAAUGAAACACCCAAAUAAAAAUAAAUUUUUUACACUUUUUUCUUAAUCACUUCAAAAGAAGGCUAGAUUAGUAAAUAUUUUUGAAUAUGAGACUAGAUGGGCAAAAUUUUUUUACAAAGGCUAGAUUAGUAAAUAUUUUGAAUAUGAGACUAGGUGGGUAAAAAUUUUUUACAAAGGGUAGAUGAGGAAUUAGAUCUGUUACAAAAGCUGGUCCCGCUUCUCUCCUCGCAACGAGAUCGUUACAAAAGCUGGUCCCGCUUCUCUCCUCGCAACGAACGCUAGCUAGCUUCUGAGCACUCGAGCUUCCCCAAGCUUCCCCACCCCAACAGCAAUGGCGACGAAGGGCUCCGCCCCCAACACUCUCCCGCAUUUCGUCCUCGUGCCCUUCAUGGCGCAGGGCCACCUCAUCCCGGCCAUGGACAUCGCCGCGCUGCUCACCGCCCGCGGCGCCGCCGUAACCCUAAUCACCACCCCCGUCAACUCCGCUCACCUCCGCCCCCUCGCCGACCGUCUCGUCGCCUCCUCCUCCCACUCCGGCCCCUUUCGCCUCGCCGAGCUCCCCUUUCCCGCCGCCUCCUUCGGCCUCCCCGAGGGCUGCGAGAGCCUCGAC
This 23723-nucleotide long non-coding RNA is filed under the name Ananas comosus (pineapple). RNAcentral describes it as "long non-coding RNA (ACOM_LNC018685)". The record is from RNAcentral. Lineage: Eukaryota; Viridiplantae; Streptophyta; Magnoliopsida; Poales; Bromeliaceae.